This 524-nucleotide ribosomal RNA is filed under the name Vigna radiata. RNAcentral's name for it is "eukaryotic LSU rRNA". The stretch from base 128 to 283 matches the Rfam family "5.8S ribosomal RNA". The record is from RNAcentral. Lineage: Eukaryota; Viridiplantae; Streptophyta; Magnoliopsida; Fabales; Fabaceae.
CCCCGCCUCCUCUCCUCUUCAGGAGAAAGCCAAACCCCGGCACUAGACGUGCCAAGGAUCCGAAACACAGUUCUGGUCGACUCCGAAGGACAGCGUCCGACGGAAUCGUCACGAAAAGAAUCAAAACGACUCUUGGCAACGGAUAUCUUGGCUCUUGCAUCGAUGAAGAACGUAGCGAAAUGCGAUACUUGGUGUGAAUUGCAGAAUCCCGUGAACCAUCGAGUCUUUGAACGCAAGUUGCGCCCAAAGCCAUUAGGCCGAGGGCACGCCUGCCUGGGUGUCACACAUCGUCAUCCCCAUGCAAAAGCGCAUCGGGGCGAAAGGUGGCCUCCCGCGACACACCCGUCGUGGUUGGUCGAAAACCAAGGUAACGUCGGGGUCCCCCCCGCCAGAAACGGUGGAUGAGCAACGCUCGAGACCAACAACGGCGGCGGCGGACACCCGGCAAUCCAAUCGAUCGACCCUAUCGCGUUCCUUGCAUAAUAAACAGGCAAAGACGCUCUAACGAGACCUCAGUCAGGCGG